GAUGAACGCUGGCGGCGUGCCUAAUACAUGCAAGUCGAGCGAACAGACGAGGAGCUUGCUCCUCUGACGUUAGCGGCGGACGGGUGAGUAACACGUGGAUAACCUACCUAUAAGACUGGGAUAACUUCGGGAAACCGGAGCUAAUACCGGAUAAUAUCUUGAACCGCAUGGUUCAAUAGUGAGAGACGGUUUUGCUGUCACUUAUAGAUGGAUCCGCGCCGCAUUAGCUUGUUGGUAAGGUAAAGGCUUACCAAGGCAACGAUGCGUAGCCGACCUGAGAGGCUGAUCGGCCACACGGGAACUUAGACACGGUCCAUACUCCUACGGGAGGCAGCAGUAGGGAAUCUUCCGCAAUGGUCGAAAGCUUUACGGAGCAACGCCGCGUGAGUUAUGAAGGUCUUCGGAUCGUAAAACUCUGUUAUUAGUUAAGAACAAAUGUGUAAGUAACUAUGCACGUAUUGACGGUACCUAAUCAGAAAGCCACGGCUAACUACGUG
Molecule: ribosomal RNA, 497 nt
Filed under: uncultured bacterium
Lineage: Bacteria
Description: partial 16S ribosomal RNA
Rfam family: Bacterial small subunit ribosomal RNA
Source: RNAcentral